UACGAAGGGGGCGAGCGUUGUUCGGAUUUACUGGGCGUAAAGGGCGCGUAGGCGCCUUGUCAGUCAGGCGUGAAAGCCCCGGGCUCAACCUGGGAACGGCGCUUGGGACGGCGAGGCUGGAGUUCGGGAGAGGAGAGUGGAAUUCCCAGUGUAGAGGUGAAAUUCGUAGAUAUUGGGAAGAACACCGGUGGCGAAGGCGGCUACUCUGGACCGACACUGACGCUGAGGCGCGAAAGCGUGGGGAGCGAACAGG
This 253-nucleotide ribosomal RNA is filed under the name uncultured bacterium. RNAcentral's name for it is "partial 16S ribosomal RNA". It matches the Rfam family "Bacterial small subunit ribosomal RNA", at positions 524 to 776 of the family's 1533-position model. The record is from RNAcentral.